CCUACGGGCGGCAGCAGUCGAGAAUCAUUCACAAUGGGGAAACCCUGAUGGUGCGACGCCGCGUGGGGGAAUGAAGGUCUUCGGAUUGUAAACCCGUGUCAUGUGGGAGCAAAUUAAAAAGAUAGUACCACAAGAGGAAGAGACGGCUAACUCUGUGCCAGCAGACGCGGGAAUACAGAGGUCUCAAGCGUUGUUCGGAAUCACUGGGCGUAAAGCGUGCGUAGGCUGUUUCGUAAGUCGUGUGUGAAAAGCGCGGGCUCACCCCGCGGACGGCACAUGAAACUGCGCGACUAGAGUAAUGGAGGGGGAACCGGAAUGCUCGGUGUAGCCGUGAAAUGCGUAGAUAUCGAGAAGAACACUCGUGGCGAAGGCGGGUUCCUGGACAUUAACUGACGCUGAGGCACGAAGGCCAGGGGAGCGAAAGGGAUUAGAUACCCCGGUAGUC
Molecule: ribosomal RNA, 445 nt
Filed under: uncultured bacterium
Lineage: Bacteria
Description: partial 16S ribosomal RNA
Rfam family: Bacterial small subunit ribosomal RNA
Source: RNAcentral